AGAAGCCCUAAGCUUGCCCAAAUGGGCAGAGGGAUCCUCCUCAUCCUCCUCGUGUCACCCCCAGGUUUGAGUGGAAGAAAGAUGAAGAAGCAAAGAAGAGGAGAUGCUGCUGGAGGAAGAACUAGAUCUCCUCCUUCCCACCACCGUGCCUAGCUGGUCCUGCACAAAUGAAGCCCAGGAUGUGCAUCUUGAGUCCCAUUUGUCUUGUCUGUGCUCGGGCAUCACUGGAAGCAGAACUUGUGAAACAAAGCUGUGUCAUUUGGAUGGUGUUCAGUGCAGAUUUUGCUUUCAGAAGAUUACACUUUUCUACACAUAUCUGAGCCCUGAAUAUUGCCUCACUCUUCAUCCAAGAGAGAUAAUCAGGUUGUCAGAAAUGAAAGAUUCUUCUUCUUAUUACUAUUUAUGCUAUAUCUUCAAAAGAGGAAAGCUUCAUUUUUGAGGAGGCUGAAUUGGCUGCUGCUGGCUUGAGUAACUGAGGACAUCAGAAAUAAACCCUUGUCUUUCUGGGGACUGAACCAAGAAAAGGUCCUGAUAGCUUGGUGAGACAGAAGACACAGAGCUUUGUGGAUGUAGAAGGGAUGGUGGAGGGUUUAAUUGUGCUGGUGUCACUGGCAUGCCCUAAAAAGUGCAAAGCUGAAUCUGCCUCUGAGCGGAAUCACAGAACCCUAAACUGGUUUGGGUUGGAAGGAACCUUCAUGAUCAUCUACUUCCAACCCCCUGCCAUGGGCAGGGAUCACCUACUGGAGCAGCUUGCUCAAGGCUACAUCCAACCUGCUUUUGAGCACUGCCAGGCUUGGAGCCUCUACAGCAUCUCUGAACAACCUGUUAAAGUGCCUCACUGCCCUCACUGGCAAGAAUGCCUUCCUCAGGCCUCCUCUUAACCCAGCUUCUUCCA
Molecule: long non-coding RNA, 895 nt
Organism: Pogoniulus pusillus (Red-fronted tinkerbird)
Lineage: Eukaryota; Metazoa; Chordata; Aves; Piciformes; Lybiidae
Exons: 3
Source: RefSeq, a predicted model, not a curated record